Molecule: unclassified non-coding RNA, 344 nt
Filed under: soil metagenome
Description: partial contains 5.8S ribosomal RNA, internal transcribed spacer 2, and large subunit ribosomal RNA
Rfam family: 5.8S ribosomal RNA (bases 1-118)
Source: RNAcentral
AUGAAGAACGCAGUGAAAUGCGAUACGUAAUGUGAAUUGCAAAUUCAGUGAAUCAUCGAGUCUUUGAACGCACAUUGCGCCCCCUGGUAUUCCGGGGGGCAUGCCUGUCCGAGCGUCAUUGCUGCCCUCAAGCACGGCUUGUGUGUUGGGCCCCGUCCUCCGAUCCCGGGGGACGGGCCCGAAAGGCAGCGGCGGCACCGCGUCCGGUCCUCGAGCGUAUGGGGCUUUGUCACCCGCUCUGUAGGCCCGGCCGGCGCUUGCGGAUCAACCCAAAUUUUUAUCCAGGUUGACCUCGGAUCAGGUAGGGAUACCCGCUGAACUUAAGCAUAUCAAUAAGCGGAGGA